GACCAUACUAGCUGGGCGGGGAACCCACUGCUGAUGGUUCACCAUACGCAGCUGGGAUUUCCCUCCCCGCCUUCCUUGUGCUAAAUGGUCAAUUAGGCAUGAUGUUGAUGGGGGCCCCACCUGGGAAUGGAGGUAUAUAGUAGCCUUGGAGUGGCUGGUGGUUCAUUUGCUUGACUCAACCACUAAGAACAACACAUCUGAUCCUGCACACAGGUCACCCUCCCUUGUUGGGAGCCUAGUCACCAUUUUAUGGUACACUAUGCACUUUACGUGCACACAUAACAUUUUGGAUCAGGCUGUGACCACCGUGUCUUACUCCAGGCACUGUUCCUCGUUCUCAUGGGUUCCCCGUCUCAACCCCGGGGGAGACAUCCUGCCCGGACCCCCCUUCUUUCCUUGGCAGAUACCGGACCGGGUCUUGUGGUGGCAUAUAUACUGUCCUAAAAACACUCCUGAUGAUUGGCUGAAAUGCCAGGAAACGCGUAGAGUGCCCCCAGAUGCCAACAAUCACCUGUUCAUAUUCCACAUACUUACCGAUUUUACUACAUAUAUCUGCCAUGUCUAUGAUUUUAUUUCUGUAUUUCAUGCUAUGUAGCAGCAUAUCUAGAGUAAGCCUUGUGACUACCUAUUUAUUUAAUACAAAAUAUUUGACAUGUA
This is a long non-coding RNA of Rana temporaria (common frog), 657 nucleotides long. RefSeq lists it as uncharacterized. Lineage: Eukaryota; Metazoa; Chordata; Amphibia; Anura; Ranidae. The transcript has 3 exons. The record is from RefSeq and is a predicted model, not a curated record.